GGCUUUAUAUAGGGGAGGGGGCGUGGCCAAAAGGAAGUGGGCGGGGCUUAAGAGGAAAUUGGGGGCGUGGCCUCGGGGGGAACCGCGAAACCCCGCUGGGUUUUGGCCACGCCCCCUUUUCCGGUUGCGGUUAAUGGGGUGGGCGGGGCUUAAAGGGGGCGGGGCUUAAAUGAAGGAGGCGUGGCUUAGAGAGAAGGGGCGUGGCUUCGGUGUUCCCCUUUGCUCUGACCACGCCCCCUUCUUUCCGUAUAUGGCAAUAGGGGCGUGGCCUCGGUGUCCCGCCCUGUUCUGACCACGCCCCCUUCUUUCCGUAUAUGGCAAUGUGGGCGGGGCUUGAAUGGAUGGAGGCGUGGUUUAAUCGUAGCCCCGCCCCCUCGCCGACCCCACUCACCCCACACCCUUUAUUCGCCCUAUAGGACACAGGGGACGUUAUCAAGUUCUGGUGGCACCUUUAUUGGUUCCAUCUGCUCCUGCCCUGACCCCCCCCACCCCCCCAUGGUGGCCCUGGGGGUCCCCAAGGUGGACAUGGGGGUCCCAUUGGUGACUAUGGGGGUCCCAUUGGGGGUCCCAUUGGUGGUACUGUCCCCAUUGGUGACUAUGGGGGUCCCACUGGGGGUCCUGGGGGUCCCAUUAAUGGCUAUGGGGGUCCCAUUGGUGGCCAUGGGGGUCCCAUUAAUGACUAUGAUGGUCCCAUUGGUGGAGAUGGGGGUCCCAUUGGUGGUCCUGGGGGUCCUAUUGGUGGCCCUGGGGGUCCCCAAGGUGGCCAUGGGGGUCCCAUUGGUGACUAUGGGGGUCCCAUUGGUGGUCCUGUCCCCAUUGGUGGCCCUGGGGGUCCCCAAGGUGGCCNUCCCCAAGGUGGCCAUGGGGGUCCCAUUGGUGACUAUGGGGGUCCCAUUGGUGGUCCUGUCCCCAUUGGUGGCCCUGGGGGUCCCCAAGGUGGCCCUGGGGGUCCCACUGGUGACUAUGGGGGUCCCAUUGGUGACUAUGGGGGUCCCUUUGGUGGUCCUGUCCCCAUUGGUGCCUAUGGGGGUCCUGGGGGUCCUAUUGGUGGCCCUGGGGGUCCCCAAGGUGGACAUGGGGGUCCCAUUGGUGACUAUGGGGGUCCCAUUGGUGGUCCCAUUCCCAAGGUGGCCAUGGGGAUCCUAUUGGUUGUCCUGGGGGUCCCCAUUUAGUGGCUCUGGGGGUCCCAUAGGUGGUCCCAUCCCAUUAGUGGCCCUGGGGGGUUUCAUUGGUGGCACAGGGGGUCCUCAAGGUGGUCCUGUCCCCAUUGGGGUCCCAUUUAGUGGCAUUGGGGACCCUUUGGCGUCCCUAUGGUGUCCCUAUAGUGGCCAUAGGGUCCCAUUAGGUGGCACUGGGGACCCUUUAUUGUUCCUAUGGUGUCCCUGUAUUGGCCAUUGGGUCCCAUUAGGUGGCAUUGGGGUCCCUUUAGCGUCCCUAUAG
Molecule: long non-coding RNA, 1440 nt
Filed under: Coturnix japonica (Japanese quail)
Lineage: Eukaryota; Metazoa; Chordata; Aves; Galliformes; Phasianidae
Description: lncRNA (ENSCJPG00005002844.1)
Source: RNAcentral